UUUACUUUUGCUUUUAUUUCCCUGGUCUUUGAGGUCAAGUUCACAAAAGGCUUUCUGAGACCAAGGUCCAUAAGUUUGGUAUUUAUGUUUUCUUAUAUGUAUUUUAUUGUUUCAGGUCUUAUAUUUAAGUCUGUAAUCCAUUUUGAGUUAAUUUUUGUGUGUGGUGUCAAAUAGCAGUCUAGUUUCAUUCUUUUGCGUGUGUCUUUCCAAAUUUUCCGACACUAUUGACAAGGCUUUCUUUCUCCAUUGUGUUUUUUGCUUCUUUGCCUAAAAUUAGUUGCCCAUAUACAUGAGGAUUUACUUUUGUUCUCUCAGUUCUGUUCCAUUGGUCUGUGUGUCUAUUUUUCUGCUAAUACCAUACUGUUUUGAUUAUUGUAGCAGCUCUUUCUUUAAAACUCUUUUUGUGCUUUUGUUAAUAACUCCCUGAUUCUUCUUGUGCUUUUCUGGCCUAUCCAGCCUCUCUGUGUCUUUCGCUGGGUCUUUAGAAAUGUGCCAGAAAAAGACAAGGAAAUGCCAUUCUCCCUUAUGUACUAGCAUUCCUAGGGGUCCCCUCCUCUCCCUGGCAAGCCUCCCCAACACCUGACUUCAGCUACAUCCAUUGGCUGAUGAAUCCCACAAUGGCAUUGGUGCCUUCCAUGGAACCCCAACCUUACCACAUCAAAAACGAAAUUCAUUUUCUCUUCCAAAUUCACUUGCCUUCUGCUUCCCCAAUCUUGCUUGUCAGCCAUUCGCCCGAUGGUCCAAGUCAGUAACCUGAAAGUUUAUGCUGGAUUUCUCCUUCCUACCUACAAUCCCCUGGGCCUAUCCUGCAUUGUUCUCAAGCAGCUCUUCCUUCUGUGCCUCCAGUUCAUCACGUGGCGUCUUUCAUUGGAAAUAUUGCGGCACUGGUACUUCUGUCCUGUCCUCAUCCUAUUUGUCUACAUUGCUGCAGAGCAAUCUUUCCAGUACAUGAUUCUGUUUAUGUGACCACACAGCUCAGAAUUUUUCAGAAGCUCUCUGUAGCCUGUGAGAUAAAGUAGAAAUUUAUUGGCAUCGCAUAUUAGGCUCCUCAUAGAUAUCCAGUUGUUGAUACACACAGACCCAGUGAAGAAUCCAGGACUGAAAAUCUAGCUCUGUAAGCAGAGGGCAGGGAAAGAUAGACGGAGGAGGCUAGCCACUCCAGUCCGGUAAUUUAUAUAGUUUAUUAAUGGACACAGUUCAUUAAAUACAUCUUAGGUGGCUUCAAUUCAGAAUGGAUUCCACACAGCUUGGCAGGAGCAAAGAAUCAUAUAGGAUAAAGGGGGGAUAGUCAUGGGUCCUAGCAUGUGAAAGCUACCAGGUAUGGGAAAUCACAUGCUGGACCAGGUCAGGACAAAGGCCUGUCCCAGGAACCAGCAUGCAGCAUGUAGCAGGGGAGGAGUGCUAGUUUAUGUCAGAACCGUCAUUGAUUACAGUCUCCGUUCAGGCCCUGGUCCAGUUUGCCUGCGGGUCUGACAGCGGCCGCGCCCUGGAACAGUUUCUCCACAUCAGCCUGAACUGCCUCGGGUUGAGUGAUAUCGUGAUAAAUACAGUGCAUUUUCAAGGGGAUCCCACUCUCUGAGCAUGGAGCUUGGCCAAGAAGGCAGCCUCUGGGUCUCCAAGGCCACUGUUCUGCAUUGCAAGUCCCAGUGUCAGCCCUUGUUUCCCAGAGCACCUCCGGCACCAGGGAAGCAAAAACUGGUGGGGCUUGUUGCAUGUGCUAUGGACUGGCUGAAAUAGCGUCGUAACUGUUGAGCUCUGGCAUUGGAGGGAGCACUUUCCUUAAACUUCUCAUGCGAAUUUAUCUAGCUCCGUCAGCAAUGACCUGGGCCCCAGAAUAAGGCUGCCCAGACUCAGCUGCCCCUACCAGUUAUUUAUUUAUCAGUUAGCUAUUUUUAAAAUCUUACGAUCAGAAAUCAUCAGCUCUUUACUAUAUCUAUGUAUUAUAUUUAUUAUAUUUAUUUUUAGCUUUACAUAUUUAGCGAGCUUUCCCUGCUUUGCUGUCUCCCACCUCCCUAAUCUAUAACCAGUGGAUUUCAUUUAACCCCUUUAUGUCUCCUCUUUUGAUUGUAAUGUAUAAAAUAAGGGGCAAAGCUGCCAUUCUCUGGGGCAUUUUCUCAGUCCCUUGAGACUUUGCUUCCCCGCAAUUGUCAACAGUUUGGCUCAAAUAAACUCACAAAAAUUC
Long non-coding RNA from Myotis daubentonii (Daubenton's bat), 2182 nucleotides. RefSeq lists it as uncharacterized. The record is from RefSeq and is a predicted model, not a curated record. NCBI's taxonomy places the organism in Eukaryota, Metazoa, Chordata, Mammalia, Chiroptera, Vespertilionidae. The transcript is spliced from 2 exons.